UACGUAGGGUGCAAGCGUUGUCCGGAAUUAUUGGGCGUAAAGAGCUCGUAGGCGGUUUGUCGCGUCUGCUGUGAAAAUCCGGGGCUCAACCCCGGACUUGCAGUGGGUACGGGCAGACUAGAGUGUGGUAGGGGAGACUGGAAUUCCUGGUGUAGCGGUGAAAUGCGCAGAUAUCAGGAGGAACACCGAUGGCGAAGGCAGGUCUCUGGGCCACUACUGACGCUGAGAAGCGAAAGCGUGGGGAGCGAACAGG
RNAcentral lists this ribosomal RNA (253 nucleotides) under uncultured bacterium. RNAcentral's name for it is "partial 16S ribosomal RNA". It matches the Rfam family "Bacterial small subunit ribosomal RNA", at positions 524 to 776 of the family's 1533-position model. The record is from RNAcentral.